GACAUAUGAAGUCUUAACAGUUGGUCUCUCACUUUUAUCUCAUCCAAGUGAGGUAGUGGAAAUGCUUAAUCAAGGUCUGGUUGCUGUAAUUGUCUAGAAGAGGGCCAGUAAUCUGCAGUUCAAACCAGACAAGACAGAAGUGCUCAUUGAUGGUUUACAUCCCAGGAUACUGAAGGAGCUGGCAGAUGAGAUCUCGGAACCACUGAAUAAAAUCUUUCAGAGCUCCUGGAGCAUGGGGAAACUGCCAGAGGCCUGGAAAAGAGAAGAAAGAAAACUAGCCUUAAGAGGGGACUCUAUAGUCUGAGCCUAGCCAUCAAGAAGAUUGUCUCAGAUGUUGCCCUUACUCUGGAAGCUCCAAGACAAAAUGAGCCAAUUUUGCCAACAUCUUUCUGGUUUGUGAGAUUGCAUCACAAUUUUUGGACUCCAGCCCAGAAGCCUUAGCAGAUUUUCAGUUCCUCUAAAGAAGAAAGCCAGGCCCCUUUAACUGAAGAUGCUUUGAUCAUUAGACACUCAGAUGGAAGCUUAAUCUCGAGUUUCAUGUUGUUGAAAUCUCAUUUUAGCCUAUUGUAGGAUUAUCCUGCCUGAAUUUCUGCCUCAAUCUGAGUUUGACUUCUGAAGACUACUAGAUUGAUUGAUGUUGUUUUCUUGACAGCAACAUAGUAGUCACUGCCUUCUUCUCAAACCCAUAUUUCAACUUUGAAAUUUAACCUACACAACUGAAUUUCCUGAUAAUCUUUUAUUCAAGUACUAAUUACUGCAGAUAGAGAUCCACCUCAUUUGGUGAAGGGAAUGGAGGUGAUUCUUAAAAUCUGGGUAGAUACAUAGGUGAGAAAGUAUUCCUUCAGAUAAUUUGGUUUAGGUCUUUCAAGGUUGAAAUCAACAUUUUAGAUUGGGUCCAGAAAAAAUUGGCAUCCACUGUAGAUGGCAAAGAAUUGGAAUAAUGUGUUUGCAUUGGCUUAUCCCAGAAAGCAAUCUAGCUGCUCUAUUUUGAACUAACUUUCCAAAUCAUUUUCAAAGGCAGCCCCUUACACAGCUCAUUAUAUAAUAAUCAAUAAUUUAUUUUCAUAUUCUAUGCCCAGAUUUAGUUUCUUCACAAGUGGCCUGAUCACUGCUUCUUUUAAAGUACAGCUUUAUCUAGAGUAUGGUCUUGGAUAGGUUCUCAUGUAUGAAAAAUGAAAGCAGUAAAGAUAUAAAGGAAUGAAAAAUGUGAAGAAGUGUAUAUUGUAUAGGUGUGUAUUGUUAUUAUUGAUAUGGGAGAUAGUAUACAGAUCUCUUGCAAGCAUUAAUUCAGGAAACACUUGAGACAUUUUAAAUAAUUAAACCUGUUCUCUUGGUUUCAGCCAAUAACUUAUAUAUUUUGGGGUAUGCAGAAGUUAUGCAAAGAAAAUUUAUCAAAGUUGAAUGUUACAUAUCUAUAAAUCACUACACAUUUCAGAAGAAAGAAUAUGUGAAGCUGUUAAUGCAAAAUGUUGAAAUAUUAAGGAUGCAUUGUUAAAAAUUAUUUAAUUUUGGAACCUUAACUUGAAGGUUUAUAGUUGCAUUUAAUGGAACUCAGCAAUGAUUAUAGUAUAUGAGAUACACUGUAGAAUAAACUGCAGAGUUUAAUUCAGGCAAAUUAACCCCCCUCCUGCUUUUACCUUACUUAAUAUUCUCCCAAAAUUCUAUGGUGCUUCAUUUCUGUUUUCAAAAUAUAUUUCCCCUUGGGGUUUUUUUCCUAAUAGAGAAAAUAUAAGAGAGUUUUUUUGUGUUCCUGGUCCCUUGCAACUCAUUUUGUGAUUUAAUACAUUUUUUAAAUAUAAAGAUCUGAUUCUUAUAAUUUUUCUUUGCAAUCAGUUUUCUUCCUUUUUGACUAUGUAUACACUAUGUAUACACUAUGUAUACACAAUGUUUCUAUGUAUACAUUAAUAAAAGUA
This is a long non-coding RNA of Crotalus tigris (Tiger rattlesnake), 1913 nucleotides long. RefSeq lists it as uncharacterized. The transcript has 3 exons. The record is from RefSeq and is a predicted model, not a curated record. Lineage: Eukaryota; Metazoa; Chordata; Lepidosauria; Squamata; Viperidae.